AGAACGAUAAUGAUCCGUAACAGUAAAAUUGGAAAAGUAUCCCUAUAUAAUCGUUUCGUUUGAUUAAUUCAAUGAUCAGAUCGAUCGAUCUCUGUCUGUUUCCUUCAUUCUAAAUAAACAUCGGUUUCACCAGAGACUACGACGAAACUGAAAAGUGAAGAGAGGAAUUCGUAAUAGUCUCUGUGAAUCCGCCGAUGAUGAUCCACCCAACGCGAUGAUGAUGAUCCACCCAACGCGAUGAUGAUGAUCCACCCAAGGCGAUGAUGAUGAUUCUUAAGGUCUAAAUCAAUAUCGAUUUCACGGGAUACUAAGUCUAGCCACGGAGAAGCUUUCACCAGAGACUGAAAUUAAAAGUGAAAGAGAGGAAUCGAGCGAGGAAGUGGAUGCACACAGGACAGCCUCGUAGAGUUGUAGCCAUGUCUGUGUCUCGUCGUGUUGAUGAAGUUGGUUACACCGUUCGUUUUGAGGACACCAGAACCGUGCUUAAAUAUGACCAGGUACUUCACUAAUGGAACGCUCCUCAAAGUGAUUAUUCUCGAAGAAAGAUCACUAGCCAUAGAUUUGGUCUUUGGUCUUCUCGAUUAACAUUGCUAAGACUUUCUUAACUAUAUAUGGGAUUGUCUAAGUCAUUGACCCUGGUUUUGCCAACCCACGAAAAAAUCCGUUUUGUAUUACUUGGGAGCACUUGAUGAUGAAGGUAACUUGACAAAGACAGGUGAGAUAGUGAUCAGUGAGUUCUCUUGGAUCCACAGGUGGUGAAGAUGCUCAUAGUCAGUCCUGAAUUCAAUUGUUCAAACGAGAUUCUCUAGGUUUUAGCCAUGCUCUCAGAGUCUCAAAAAGCAGCAGAUGAAGCUAAAGCUAGAUUUGGACACAUUGAUGGAGAUCAUCUAACAUUGUUGAGCAGUCUACUUUUAAGCAAAUACAAUGAAGAUCCCAAUUGGUGCCUAUGAAAACUUCAUCAACAAUAGAGCGAUUAAAUUUGCAGACAAUGUUAGACAGCAGCUAGUUCGGAUAGAUAACGUCAUGGUUCAACAACCUGAAGAUGUGCAGCACUCGUUUUAACUACUAUUAUCAGCACACGCCGGUUAUUUCAUACAAGUGGCUCACUUAGAACGCACUGGUCAUUUACUUGACAGCCAAAGACAACCAAGUGGUUCAUUUGUAUCCAUCAAAUUGCUUGGAUCACAUGCUAGUCGAUGUUGCUCCUCAUGAAACGUGUCCUCGGGAAGCUGGGAGAAGGAAGAGAGCAAGAACCGGAAAAGGAGAACAUUCAUUAUCCUCAUAUGUCAGCGUCUAAUUCUACUUGGACAAGAGAAUCCAUAAGAGGAGGAUUAUAUAGUGAAUAUAUCAAGGUAGCAGGAUGCUCAAGACAUCACAGCUUUGCAGGUUUACCACAUCACUGUACCGGUCUAUGUAAAAACUGAGGGAGCGUUCCAGUACCAAGAAGUCCAUUGUUUUUACUUUUAUUUUAACAGUUUUCAAAUUUUGUUCCAAAA
Molecule: long non-coding RNA, 1496 nt
Organism: Capsella rubella
Lineage: Eukaryota; Viridiplantae; Streptophyta; Magnoliopsida; Brassicales; Brassicaceae
Exons: 9
Source: RefSeq, a predicted model, not a curated record